This 395-nucleotide ribosomal RNA is filed under the name uncultured bacterium. RNAcentral's name for it is "partial 16S ribosomal RNA". It matches the Rfam family "Bacterial small subunit ribosomal RNA", at positions 523 to 918 of the family's 1533-position model. The record is from RNAcentral.
AUACGUAGGGUGCAAGCGUUAAUCGGAAUUACUGGGCGUAAAGCGUGCGCAGGCGGUUUUGUAAGACAGAGGUGAAAUCCCCGGGCUCAACCUGGGAACUGCCUUUGUGACUGCAAGGCUAGAGUGCGGCAGAGGGGGAUGGAAUUCCGCGUGUAGCAGUGAAAUGCGUAGAUAUGCGGAGGAACACCGAUGGCGAAGGCAAUCCCCUGGGCCUGUACUGACGCUCAUGCACGAAAGCGUGGGGAGCAAACAGGAUUAGGUACCCUGGUAGUCCACGCCCUAAACGAUGUCAACUGGUUGUUGGGUCUUCAUUGACUCAGUAACGAAGCUAACGCGUGAAGUUGACCGCCUGGGGAGUACGGCCGCAAGGUUGAAACUCAAAGGAAUUGACGGGG